RNAcentral lists this ribosomal RNA (490 nucleotides) under uncultured bacterium. RNAcentral's name for it is "partial 16S ribosomal RNA". It matches the Rfam family "Bacterial small subunit ribosomal RNA", at positions 30 to 507 of the family's 1533-position model. The record is from RNAcentral.
AUUGAACGCUGGCGGCAUGCUUUACACAUGCAAGUCGGACGGCAGCACAGAGAAGCUUGCUUCUUGGGUGGCGAGUGGCGAACGGGUGAGUAACAUAUCGGAACGUACCGAGCAGUGGGGGAUAACUAAUCGAAAGAUUAGCUAAUACCGCAUAUCUUCUGAGGAAGAAAGCAGGGGACCAUUUGGCCUUGCGCUGUUUGAGCGGCCGAUAUCUGAUUAGCUAGUUGGUGGGGUAAAGGCCUACCAAGGCGACGAUCAGUAGCGGGUCUGAGAGGAUGAUCCGCCACACUGGGACUGAGACACGGCCCAGACUCCUACGGGAGGCAGCAGUGGGGAAUUUUGGAUAAUGGGCGCAAGCCUGAUCCAGCCAUGCCGCGUGUCUGAAGAAGGCCUUCGGGUUGUAAAGGACUUUUGUCAGGGAAGAAAAGGGCGGGGUUAAUACCCCUGUCUGAUGACGGUACCUGAAGAAUAAGCACCGGCUAACUACGUG